UGCCCCAAAUUUAUUUAAAUAGCAUUAACUUUUUUUAUGUUUGCAAAGCUCUUCAAACAUCAAGCCAGGUAAAUACAAGAAAAUUCAUAAACCUCUGCUGAUAUAGCUUAACCUCCUCCUUACUUAGCACGAGUUUAUCCAAAAUUCUCUUUGUUGGUUGAAAAGAUAGUUGACUUUCUUAAAUCUACUUUGGAUAGGGACAGGUCUCACAUCCACCAAUGCAUUGUAUCUUCAAUAAUGCAAGGAACCAUUCCCCAACUCAAGUAGGGGCUUACUCCUAAUUUUUUCUUGCUAAACAUAUUUUAGAGGACAUACCA
Molecule: long non-coding RNA, 317 nt
Filed under: Homo sapiens (human)
Lineage: Eukaryota; Metazoa; Chordata; Mammalia; Primates; Hominidae
Description: non-protein coding lnc-FOXQ1-27:3
Source: RNAcentral